RNAcentral lists this ribosomal RNA (583 nucleotides) under Betta lehi. Its description in RNAcentral is "partial 16S ribosomal RNA". The stretch from base 150 to 583 matches the Rfam family "Bacterial large subunit ribosomal RNA", at positions 566 to 1165 of the family's 2925-position model. The record is from RNAcentral. Lineage: Eukaryota; Metazoa; Chordata; Actinopteri; Anabantiformes; Osphronemidae.
UUAUUAAUACCCCCAAAAACACUCAAUAUUAAUUAAACAAACCAUUUUACCCCCCAAGUAUGGGCGACAGAAAAGGAACAUUCAGAGCAAUAGAAAAAGUACCGCAAGGGAAUGCUGAAAAAGAAGUGAAACAACUCAGUAAAGUUUAAAAAAGCAAAGAUUCACCCUUGUACCUUUUGCAUCAUGAUUUAGUCAGUAAAAACAAGCAAAAGGCACUUUAGUUUGAUUUCCCGAAACUAAGUGAGCUACUCCAAGACAGCCUAAAAUAGGGCUAACCCGUCUCUGUGGCAAAAGAGUGGGAUGAGCUUAGAGUAGAGGUGAUAAACCUACCGAACUUAGUUAUAGCUGGUUGCCUGAGAAAUGAAUAGAAGUUCAGCUUUUUGGUUUCUCCCUCCAACCUGCUUAACUAUAAACGAACCAAAGAAGCCAAAAAAGUUAAUUAAAGGGGGUACAGCUCCUUUAAACAAGAUACAACUUCACCAGCCGGGUAAAGAUCACAUACAGCCAAGGUAAAAUGUUUUAGUGGGCCUAAAAGCAGCCACCUAUAAGAAAGCGUCAAAGCUCCUUCAUAUCACCCCCCCCC